This 425-nucleotide unclassified non-coding RNA is filed under the name soil metagenome. RNAcentral's name for it is "partial contains 5.8S ribosomal RNA, internal transcribed spacer 2, and large subunit ribosomal RNA". The stretch from base 1 to 120 matches the Rfam family "5.8S ribosomal RNA", at positions 35 to 154 of the family's 154-position model. The record is from RNAcentral.
GAUGAAGAACGCAGCAAAAUGCGAUAAGUAGUGUGAAUUGCAGAAUUCCGUGAAUCAUCGAAUCUUUGAACGCACAUUGCGCCUUCUGGUAUUCCGGAAGGCAUGCCUGUUCGAGAGUCAUUAACAACCGUUUCGAUCCCUUUCUUUCAGAAAUUACAAAGAGGAAAAGGGUUUGGUUAUGGUGGAGGAGGGAAAGGGAGCGUUUAGCCUGUAAAAAAAGAGGCUGUGUUCCGCCUCCCCCCCAAAAUUGUACAGGCGGUCGUGUGCGCCCACGCAUCGAGGUGUUGUAAAAGCUGCCACGGCACUUUUCACCUGUGCAGUGCGAGAUUGGCCAGCCGGUUUAAAAACCCCUCCAAACAAUCAAAGGUUGACCUCGGAUCAGGUAGGGAUACCCGCUGAACUUAAGCAUAUCAAUAAGCGGAGGA